CCUACGGGUGGCAGCAGUGGGGGAUAUUGCACAAUGGGGGGAACCCUGAUGCAGCGACGCCGCGUGGGUGAAGGAGCGUUUCGGCGCGUAAAGCCCUAUCGGCAGGGAAGAAGAUGACGGUACCUGACCAAGAGGCCACGGCUAACUACGGGCCAGCAGCCGCGGGAAUACGUAGGGGGCGAGCGUUCUCCGGAGUUACUGGGUGUAAAGGGGUCGGAGACGGCAAUGCAAGCCAGGAGUGAAAGCCCGGGGCCCAACCCCGGGACUGCUCUUGGAACUGGAUGGCUGGAGUACCGGAGGGGCUGGCGGAAUUCCUGGUGUAGCGGUGAAAUGCGUAGAUAUUAGGAGGAACACCGGUGGCGAAGGCGGCCUGCUGGACUGUGACUGACGUUGAGGCCCGAAGGCGUGGGUAGCAAACAGGAUUAGAUACCCUAGUAGUC
This 440-nucleotide ribosomal RNA is filed under the name uncultured bacterium. RNAcentral describes it as "partial 16S ribosomal RNA". It matches the Rfam family "Bacterial small subunit ribosomal RNA", at positions 338 to 795 of the family's 1533-position model. The record is from RNAcentral.